RNAcentral lists this ribosomal RNA (1838 nucleotides) under marine metagenome. RNAcentral's name for it is "bacterial LSU rRNA". It matches the Rfam family "Bacterial large subunit ribosomal RNA", at positions 479 to 2446 of the family's 2925-position model. The record is from RNAcentral.
GAUGACCGAUAGUGAACAAGUACCGUGAGGGAAAGGUGAAAAGUCCCCCUGUUAGGGGAGUGAAAUAGUACCUGAAACCUUUAGCAUACAAUCAGUCAGAGCCCUUCGGGGUGAUGGCGUACCUUUUGUAUAAUGGGUCAGCGACUUAAUUUCAGUAGCAAGCUUAACGUUAGGUAGGCGUAGGGAAACCGAGUCUUAAAUGGGCGAUUAGUUGCUGGAAUUAGACCCGAAACCAAGCGAUCUAUCCAUGGUCAGGUUGAAGUGUGAGUAACAUCACAUGGAGGACCGAACCCACUUAUGUUGAAAAAUGAGGGGAUGAACUGUGGAUAGGGGUGAAAGGCCAAUCAAGCUUGGAGAUAGCUGGUUCUCUCCGAAAACUAUUUAGGUAGUGCCUCUUGUAUUACCAAUGGGGGUAGAGCACUGUUUCGGCUAGGGGGUCAUCCCGACUUACCAAACCGAUGCAAACUCCGAAUACCAUUGAGUAUGAGCAAGGGAGACAGACUGCGGGUGAUAACGUCCGUAGUCGAAAGGGAAACAACCCAGACCAACAGCUAAGGUCCCAAAUUAUGAUUAAGUGGAAAACGAUGUGAAUAGACUUAUACAGCUAGGAGGUUGGCUUAGAAGCAGCCAUCCUUUAAAGAAAGCGUAAUAGCUCACUAGUCUAGUUUGUCUGCGCGGAAGAUUUACCGGGGCUAAAUCAUAAACCGAAGCUUUGGAUCAUCUUCGGAUGAUGGUAGGAGAGCGUUCUGUAAGCCUGUGAAGGUGAACCGAGAGGUUUGCUGGAGGUAUCAGAAGUGCGAAUGCUGACAUGAGUAACGAAUAAGGAGGUGAAAAACCUCCUCGCCGGAAGACUAAGGAUUCCUCUCCAACGCUUUUCGUGGGAGGGUUAGUCGGCCCCUAAGGCGUACCCGAAAGGGGAAGUCGAUGGGAAACAGGUUAAUAUUCCUGUACCAGUUGGAAGUGACGGAUCUAGUAAAUUGUAUACACUUAUUGGAUUGUGUAUGCCGUGAAUAGGUUCCAAGAAAUAGCUCCAACAUAGACCGUACCAUAAACCGACACAGGUGGUCAGGUAGAGAAUACCAAGGCGGAUGAGAUAACUCUGGUGAAGGAACUAGGCAAAAUGUAACCGUAACUUCGGGAGAAGGUUAGCCAACUUUAAGGCAACUUUUAGUUGGUCGAAGAUACCAGGUGGCUGCGACUGUUUACUAAAAACACAGCACUCUGCUAACACGAAAGUGGACGUAUAGGGUGUGACGCCUGCCCGGUGCCGGAAGGUUAAAUGAUGGGGUUAGCUUCGGCGAAGCUCUUGACUGAAGCCCCGGUAAACGGCGGCCGUAACUAUAACGGUCCUAAGGUAGCGAAAUUCCUUGUCGGGUAAGUUCCGACCUGCACGAAUGGCGUAACGAUGGCCACACUGUCUCCACCAGAGGCUCAGUGAAAUUGAAAUAGCUGUUAAGAUGCAGUUUACCCGCAGCUAGACGGAAAGACCCCGUGCACCUUUACUACAGGUUCACACUGAAAUUUGGUUUUAUAUGUGUAGGAUAGGUGGGAGACUUUGAAGCUUGGACGCCAGUUCAGGUGGAGUCGCCCUUGAAAUACCACCCUUGUAAGAUUGACUUUCUAACUUUGAUUUUUUUCAAGGACAGUGUGUGCUGGGUAGUUUGACUGGGGCGGUCUCCUCCUAAAGAGUAACGGAGGAGUACGAAGGUAUGCUCAACACGGUCGGACAUCGUGUGUAGAGUGCAAAAGCAAAAGCAUGCUUGACUGCGAGAUCGACGGAUCGAGCAGGUAGGAAACUAGGUUUUAGUGAUCCGGUGGUUCUGAAUGGAAGGGCCAUC